GACGAACGCUGGCGGCGUGCCUAAUACAUGCAAGUUGAGCGCUGAAGGUUGGUACUUGUACCGACUGGAUGAGCAGCGAACGGGUGAGUAACGCGUGGGGAAUCUGCCUUUGAGCGGGGGACACCAUUUGGAAACGAAUGCUAAUACCGCAUAAAAACUUUAAACACAAGUUUUAAGUUUGAAAGAUGCAAUUGCAUCACUCAAAGAUGAUCCCGCGUUGUAUUAGCUAGUUGGUGAGGUAAAGGCUCACCAAGGCGAUGAUACAUAGCCGACCUGAGCGGGUGAUCGGCCACAUUGGGACUGAGACACGGCCCAAACUCCUACGGGAGGCAGCAGUAGGGAAUCUUCGGCAAUGGACGAAAGUCUGACCGAGCAACGCCGCGUGAGUGAAGAAGGUUUUCGGAUCGUAAAACUCUGUUGGUAGAGAAGAACGUUGGUGAGAGUGGAAAGCUCAUCAAGUGACGGUAACUACACAGAAAGGGACGGCUAACUACGUG
This 497-nucleotide ribosomal RNA is filed under the name uncultured bacterium. RNAcentral's name for it is "partial 16S ribosomal RNA". It matches the Rfam family "Bacterial small subunit ribosomal RNA", at positions 28 to 507 of the family's 1533-position model. The record is from RNAcentral.